AGGAGCAAUGAGGAGGCUGAGUGCUCUAUGCAUGGUCCACUCACCUGGCUUGUCAGCUGUGGAGAGCUUCCUGGCUCGUCAGCUGUGGAGAGCUUCCCACGGCAGAGCUGGCCCGGCGCUCUGCCGUGGCACAGGCCAACACAUGGGCUCUCCAGGGAUUGUGAGAUGAGCACUGUGGUCUGCUGAAAGAGCUAGGUGUGGUCCGAGCACAGGCUGACAGUCAGCUGAAAGAAGAGCGGAGUAAGACCUUUACUCUACUGCAGAUACUGGAGAAUGUCCCAGUCAAGACUGAAGCUGACCAGCUGAGGUACAACCAGCAUCUUGCCAUUCAAUGUCAGCAUUUGGAGGGAGAAAUCAAGGAAAUGCAAAUGAGAGUUGAGCACCAGAUUAAAGCUGCUAAUAGGGUCUCAAACCACAAACAAGCCACCCAGCUCCUACGAACUGAGCUUCAGGAUGCUUGUGCACAAGUCAAGGAUAGGGAGGACUCUAU
Long non-coding RNA from Oncorhynchus gorbuscha (pink salmon), 490 nucleotides. RefSeq lists it as uncharacterized. The transcript is spliced from 3 exons. The record is from RefSeq and is a predicted model, not a curated record. Lineage: Eukaryota; Metazoa; Chordata; Actinopteri; Salmoniformes; Salmonidae.